GUCGUAGCAGGAAACCGAUGGAAGUCUGAGUAUUAUCUGUUUGGUGUUUUCUGAUGUCCCAAACAUUUCUUAUACAUACCGUGAUAGGACGCACUGAAAUCUCUUCCUGAAGUUGGUAGAUUCUUUGAGGAAUGUGUUGCAUGGAAGGUGUCACUGUAAACAUGCGAUUUUAAUUAAGGGCAUAUGUUAUUUAGAACUUUACAAAUAAAACUAUAAAUUGUAGUAAGAUACAUGAAUUUCCAACUAUAAUUA
Molecule: long non-coding RNA, 252 nt
Filed under: Brassica napus (rape)
Lineage: Eukaryota; Viridiplantae; Streptophyta; Magnoliopsida; Brassicales; Brassicaceae
Description: long non-coding RNA (BNAP_LNC016167)
Source: RNAcentral